This 170-nucleotide ribosomal RNA is filed under the name Sporosarcina luteola. RNAcentral's name for it is "partial 16S ribosomal RNA". It matches the Rfam family "Bacterial small subunit ribosomal RNA", at positions 1 to 167 of the family's 1533-position model. The record is from RNAcentral. Lineage: Bacteria; Bacillati; Bacillota; Bacilli; Caryophanales; Caryophanaceae.
UUUAUGGAGAGUUUGAUCCUGGCUCAGGACGAACGCUGGCGGCGUGCCUAAUACAUGCAAGUCGAGCGGACAGAUGGGAGCUUGCUCCCUGAAGUUAGCGGCGGACGGGUGAGUAACACGUGGGCAACCUGCCCUGCAGAUGGGGAUAACUCCGGGAAACCGGGGCUAAU